GUCAAACCUAAAGGCGAAAUGAAAGUGAAGGAAACUUCCGUUUCUGAGGGAGGAUGAGUCGGUUACCCGCAAGGGGCCGCUCCGCACUCCCGGGGCGUCUCUUUCUCAUUGCGAGUGGAGGCGCACCCAGAGCGUACACGCUGAUACCCGAAAGAUGGUGAACUAUGCCUGGCCAGGACGAAGCCAGGGGAAACCCUGGUGGAGGUCCGCAGCGAUUCUGACGUGCAAAUCGAUCGUCGGAGCUGGGUAUAGGGGCGAAAGACCAAUCGAACCAUCUAGUAGCUGGUUCCCUCCGAAGUUUCCCUCAGGAUAGCUUGCGCUCAUGCGAACGAGUCUCAUCCGGUAGAGCGAAUGAUUAGAGGCCUUGGGGUCGAAACGACCUCAACCUAUUCUCAAACUCCAAAUAGAUGAGAACUCCGGCUUCCUUGAAACAUUUCUAAUGAAGCCGGGGGCUGGGAUCAGAGUGCCAAGUGGGCCAAUUUUGGUAAGCAGAACUGGCGCUGUGGG
This 507-nucleotide ribosomal RNA is filed under the name Hypseloecus paramyemi. RNAcentral's name for it is "eukaryotic LSU rRNA". It matches the Rfam family "Eukaryotic large subunit ribosomal RNA", at positions 701 to 1162 of the family's 3401-position model. The record is from RNAcentral. Lineage: Eukaryota; Metazoa; Arthropoda; Insecta; Hemiptera; Miridae.